UCUCUAUAAAUACACACCUUCUAGGGUUUCAGUUCCAACCACAGCCGCUUCUAGGCGUGCUGCCAGGCGCCAAUGAAGACUCUUUGAUAGUUCAUCCGUCUGUUAAUACUCUAACCCUCCGAAUCGUCUCCUGUCAAAUUGCCUCAAGGAGGUCAUCGACUCCAUCUUUCAUUCCACUGAAUCAAGAGCAUUCCUGGUUAUUUUGUUGGCAAUUGGAUCUCGGCUUUUCAGUUGUGAUGGCAUCGGGCUUGUAUUUUGAUUAUUGAGUAAUCAACUAUUUCUUGUGCACAGUGAUUAGCAUUUUGAUUGAUAUGUGAUGUUGCAUGAAAUUAUAAUAUUUCGUGUAGCAGAUUGGUAUAUGAUAUUCGAGGGCAAUUCCAGCUUCUUGAGCCAAAUUCGGGUUUUUGGUUGUACUCAUCUUGCAGUCAUUUUUCCUUUUUGGCUUGAAAAAUGUACUGUGGCUCUGUCGAAACUUGAACCCUUGUCUCAUAAGCUACAAUUUUAUCCUUUAACAUCCCCAA
Carya illinoinensis is the source of this 521-nucleotide long non-coding RNA. RefSeq lists it as uncharacterized. Lineage: Eukaryota; Viridiplantae; Streptophyta; Magnoliopsida; Fagales; Juglandaceae. The record is from RefSeq and is a predicted model, not a curated record. The transcript is spliced from 2 exons.